RNAcentral lists this ribosomal RNA (427 nucleotides) under uncultured bacterium. RNAcentral's name for it is "partial 16S ribosomal RNA". It matches the Rfam family "Bacterial small subunit ribosomal RNA", at positions 355 to 774 of the family's 1533-position model. The record is from RNAcentral.
UGGGGAAUAUUGCACAAUGGGCGCAAGCCUGAUGCAGCCAUGCCGCGUGUGUGAAGAAGGCCUUCGGGUUGUAAAGCACUUUCAGCGAGGAGGAAGGGUAGUGUGUUAAUAGCACAUUGCAUUGACGUUACUCGCAGAAGAAGCACCGGCUAACUCCGUGCCAGCAGCCGCGGUAAUACGGAGGGUGCAAGCGUUAAUCGGAAUUACUGGGCGUAAAGCGCACGCAGGCGGUUUGUUAAGUCAGAUGUGAAAUCCCCGCGCUUAACGUGGGAACUGCAUUUGAAACUGGCAAGCUAGAGUCUUGUAGAGGGGGGUAGAAUUCCAGGUGUAGCGGUGAAAUGCGCAGAGAUCUGGAGGAAUACCGGUGGCGAAGGCGGCCCCCUGGACAAAGACUGACGCUCAGGUGCGAAAGCGUGGGGAGCAAACA